This is a long non-coding RNA of Trachymyrmex cornetzi, 123 nucleotides long. RefSeq lists it as uncharacterized. Lineage: Eukaryota; Metazoa; Arthropoda; Insecta; Hymenoptera; Formicidae. The transcript has 3 exons. The record is from RefSeq and is a predicted model, not a curated record.
UCACAGUUAUCUUUCAAAACAUGUACGAUUGUAGUACCAAAAUAGUUUUGACGAGUAAUGCCAUCUUCAUGUUGAGGCUCAAAACUUUUCAAACGACCUUCAAAUAAAUAAAUUUGAAGAAAA